AGGAACCGUAUGCAUUAGUAGCGCACGUACGGAUCUGUGCGGGGGCAGCGGGAAACCGCUAUUCCUACCGAGAC
This 74-nucleotide non-coding RNA is filed under the name Vibrio sp. ES.051. Lineage: Bacteria; Pseudomonadati; Pseudomonadota; Gammaproteobacteria; Vibrionales; Vibrionaceae. The record is from RNAcentral.